UGGGGAAUAUUGGACAAUGGGGGCAACCCUGAUCCAGCGAUGCCGCGUGAGUGAAGAAGGCCUUCGGGUCGUAAAGCUCUUUAGGUUGGGAAGAAGUAUGGUGGAGGAAAUGCCAUCAUGUUGACGGUACCGACAGAAUAAGCACCGGCAAACUCUGUGCCAGCAGCCGCGGUAAUACAGAGGGUGCAAGCGUUAAUCGGAGUUACUGGGCGUAAAGGGCGCGUAGGCGGCGAUAUGAGUGUGAUGUGAAAGCCCCGGGCUUAACCUGGGAAGUGCAUCGCAAAGCGAUAUUGCUGGAGUAUAUGAGAGGGUGGCGGAAUUUCCGGUGUAGCGGUGAAAUGCGUAGAGAUCGGAAGGAACGUCAAUUGGCGAAGGCAGCCACCUUGGCAUUAAUACUGACGCUGAGGCGCGAAAGCGUGGGGAGCGAACA
RNAcentral lists this ribosomal RNA (430 nucleotides) under uncultured Aquicella sp. RNAcentral's name for it is "bacterial SSU rRNA". It matches the Rfam family "Bacterial small subunit ribosomal RNA", at positions 355 to 774 of the family's 1533-position model. Lineage: Bacteria; Pseudomonadati; Pseudomonadota; Gammaproteobacteria; Legionellales; Coxiellaceae. The record is from RNAcentral.